This 104-nucleotide ribosomal RNA is filed under the name Flavobacterium sp. SCGC AAA160-P02. Lineage: Bacteria; Pseudomonadati; Bacteroidota; Flavobacteriia; Flavobacteriales; Flavobacteriaceae. The record is from RNAcentral.
GUGGUUAUAGCAUUGGGGCUCACCUCUUCCCAUUCCGAACAGAGAAGUUAAGCCCAAUAGCGCCGAUGGUACUGCAUUUAUGUGGGAGAGUAGGUCGCUGCCUU